This 124-nucleotide microRNA precursor is filed under the name Hordeum vulgare. RNAcentral describes it as "microRNA MIR1122". It matches the Rfam family "MIR1120/MIR1122 microRNA precursor family". The record is from RNAcentral. Lineage: Eukaryota; Viridiplantae; Streptophyta; Magnoliopsida; Poales; Poaceae.
CAACUACUCCCUCCAUUCAAAAAUACUUGUCCGAGAAAUGUAUGUAUCUAGAUGUAUUUUAGUUUUAGAUACAUCCAUUUCUAUCAUUUUUGCGACAAGUAAUUCCGGACGGAGGGAGUAUAUA